This 253-nucleotide ribosomal RNA is filed under the name uncultured Aquiflexum sp. RNAcentral's name for it is "partial 16S ribosomal RNA". It matches the Rfam family "Bacterial small subunit ribosomal RNA", at positions 1131 to 1382 of the family's 1533-position model. The record is from RNAcentral. Lineage: Bacteria; Pseudomonadati; Bacteroidota; Cytophagia; Cytophagales; Cyclobacteriaceae.
CCGGGGACUCUGAUAAGACUGCCUGCGCAAGCAGAGAGGAAGGAGGGGACGACGUCAAGUCAUCAUGGCCCUUACGCCCAGGGCGACACACGUGCUACAAUGGCGCAUACAGCGGGUAGCUACCUGGCAACAGGAUGCCAACCUCUAAAAGUGCGUCUCAGUUCGGAUUGGGGUCUGCAACCCGACCCCAUGAAGCUGGAAUCGCUAGUAAUCGCGCAUCAGCCAUGGCGCGGUGAAUACGUUCCCGGACCUU